Molecule: long non-coding RNA, 631 nt
Organism: Prionailurus viverrinus (fishing cat)
Lineage: Eukaryota; Metazoa; Chordata; Mammalia; Carnivora; Felidae
Exons: 3
Source: RefSeq, a predicted model, not a curated record
UCUGGUGUAAGUUUCCAUGUUUUAGCUGUACCUGUGACACAGGACACGAGAGAACGUGCUCAUGUGAACACAAGUGAAGGACACCGUGGGGACUUGCCACACAGCCCCAUUCCUUUUCCACAAGAGACGCCUGUACCAACCCAUGGUGGGGGAAAGGACAAAGAUGAGAUCCUGAGAAACUUGAGGAAUGUGGUAAUGGCAGCAGACACAUUCCUCUUGCAUCACAAUGGUCUGUGGUACCACCUCUGCACCUUGGCCCAAGACCUAACAGCAACAAAAUAAGGGUUGCAAAGACGAGGGCCAUGAAAUGGCACUACCACAUUGCUGGGUAUGAUUCAUUGUAGAACACACUGCUUUCCUACAGAUUAUGACAACUGACACCACCCCCGAGGAAUGUUAGCAUGGACAAAGUUUCCACACAGUCUGGCCACUACUUGAGAUCUGCAAAUGUUUAGAAACUUAAUUGUUUUAUUCCUUCUAAACUUACCUUUUUUAUCUGUUAAUAUUCUAUGCAUAUGUUGACUUUAAACAUUGCAAAAAGAUUAAAAACCAAAAAAUUAACAGCGGUUUCAUGAGCUUCUGGUAAUUACUAGCUGAACUCACUUUUACUUGUUUAUUUCUUCUGUAGCUA